GGUAUAAGAUAACCUUUAAGAUAAAAUAUGUCAUCCCUCUGACAUCCCUCUGGAUUGGGGACUGUGUGGACACAGACUUUGUAGGCCCCAGUCAGGCCAGGAAAUCCAUUUUCCUAGGCUGGCCCAUGGAGAACUUCAUCGCCACUUUCCGGUCUGUGGACCAAAAAAGAGAUUGGUGGUGUUUCCUUGAAAGAUCUAUUAAACAGACAAAGGAGAAGUACCAUGGGAGGAGUACUGCACUGGAGAUAUUCACAGAUGUCAUCCCGA
Long non-coding RNA from Mesocricetus auratus (golden hamster), 267 nucleotides. RefSeq lists it as uncharacterized. Lineage: Eukaryota; Metazoa; Chordata; Mammalia; Rodentia; Cricetidae. The record is from RefSeq and is a predicted model, not a curated record. The transcript has 3 exons.